UCGCAACCCUUGAAUCUGUUUUUCUCUGCAACGGUUUUUCUACUUUUUAAAAAUGGAUGGAAUUUUUUGCUGCUGCAAGGAUAUAUAGCAGUAGUAUGUACGUGGGCGAUCGGGGGGGUGGUGGCGCAUGCACGGGCUCGCGUGGGGCCUGUCGGUGGCAGCCCCAGCGCGCCGGCGCCAGCCCCGUGAUCGUCGAUCGCGCACGUACGUGGAGGGGAUUAUGAGAGGAGAAGACGCGCACGGGGCUGUGUCGUAUGCAGAGC
This 263-nucleotide unclassified non-coding RNA is filed under the name Eimeria tenella. RNAcentral describes it as "partial miscellaneous RNA". Lineage: Eukaryota; Apicomplexa; Conoidasida; Eucoccidiorida; Eimeriidae. The record is from RNAcentral.